This 447-nucleotide ribosomal RNA is filed under the name uncultured bacterium. Its description in RNAcentral is "partial 16S ribosomal RNA". It matches the Rfam family "Bacterial small subunit ribosomal RNA", at positions 329 to 793 of the family's 1533-position model. The record is from RNAcentral.
GACCAGACUCCUACGGGAGGCAGCAGUGGGGGAUAUUGCACAAUGGGGGGAACCCUGAUGCAGCGACGCCGCGUGGGUGAAGGAGCGUUUCGGCGCGUAAAGCCCUAUCGGCAGGGAAGAAGGAGGACGGUACCUGACUAAGAAGCCCCGGCUAACUCCGUGCCAGCAGCCGCGGUAAUACGGAGGAUGCGAGCGUUAUCCGGAUUUAUUGGGUUUAAAGGGUGCGCAGGCGGAGGCACAAGUCAGCGGUAAAAUCGCGGGGCUCAACCCCGGCGAGCCGUUGAAACUGGCUGUCUUGAGAUGUCGAGAGGUAUGCGGAAUGCGCAGUGUAGCGGUGAAAUGCUUAGAUAUUGCGCAGAACUCCGAUUGCGAAGGCAGCAUACCGGCGGCGAUCUGACGCUGAGGCACGAAAGCGUGGGUAUUGAACAGGAUUAGAUACCCCCGUAU